GACGAACGCUGGCGGCGUGCCUAAUACAUGCAAGUAGAACGCACAGUUUAUACCGUAGCUUGCUACACCAUAAACUGUGAGUUGCGAACGGGUGAGUAACGCGUAGGUAACUUGCCUGGUAGCGGGUAUAACUAAUGGAUACGAUAGCUAAUAACGCAUAAUAUUGUUUAAUUCAUGAUAAAUGAUUAAAAGAUGCUAUUGCAUCACUACCAGCUGGACAUGCGUUGUAUUAGCUAGUAGGUGAGGUAACGGCUCACCUAGGCGACGAUACAUAGCCGACCUGAGAGGGUGAUCGGCCACACUGGGACUGAGACACGGCCCAGACUCCUACGGGAGGCAGCAGUAGGGAAUCUUCGGCAAUGGACGAAAGUCUGACCGAGCAACGCCGCGUGAGUGAAGAAGGUUUUCGGAUCGUAAAGCUCUGUUGUAAGAGAAGAACGGGUGUGAGAGUGGAAAGUUCACACUGUGACGGUAUCUGACCAGAAAGGGACGGCUAACUACGUG
RNAcentral lists this ribosomal RNA (504 nucleotides) under uncultured bacterium. Its description in RNAcentral is "partial 16S ribosomal RNA". It matches the Rfam family "Bacterial small subunit ribosomal RNA", at positions 28 to 507 of the family's 1533-position model. The record is from RNAcentral.